This 398-nucleotide ribosomal RNA is filed under the name uncultured bacterium. RNAcentral's name for it is "bacterial SSU rRNA". It matches the Rfam family "Bacterial small subunit ribosomal RNA", at positions 358 to 773 of the family's 1533-position model. The record is from RNAcentral.
GGAAUAUUGGACAAUGGGCGAAAGCCUGAUCCAGCAAUACCGCGUGAGUGAUGAAGGCCUUAGGGUUGUAAAACUCUUUCAGUGGGGAAGAUAAUGACGGUACCCACAGAAGAAGCACCUGCUCACUCCGUUCCAGCAGCCGCGGUAAUACGGAGGGUGCAAGCGUUGUUCGGAAUUACUGGGCGUAAAGAGUGCGUAGGCGGCUUGGUAAGUUGGGAGUGAAAUCCCGGGGCUCAACCUCGGAAUUGCUCUCAAAACUGCUGAGCUAGAGUAUGGUAGGGGAUAGUGGAAUUCUUAGUGUAGGGGUGAAAUCCGUAGAUAUUAAGAGGAACACCAGAGGCGGAGGCGACUAUCUGGGCCAUUACUGACGCUAAGGUACGAAAGCGUGGGGAGCAAAC